This 64-nucleotide transfer RNA is filed under the name Lirapex sp. ZZ-2022. RNAcentral's name for it is "tRNA-Gly". The record is from RNAcentral. Lineage: Eukaryota; Metazoa; Mollusca; Gastropoda; Neomphalida; Peltospiridae.
GUCUUUUGAGUAUGUAUAGUAUAGCUGCCUUCCAAGUAGCAGGAUUAAUAAUUUAAAAAAGACA